Molecule: ribosomal RNA, 657 nt
Filed under: Triticum aestivum (bread wheat)
Lineage: Eukaryota; Viridiplantae; Streptophyta; Magnoliopsida; Poales; Poaceae
Description: partial small subunit ribosomal RNA
Source: RNAcentral
AUGCGGCGGCUAUGGCGAUGGUACCAGCAGUCCCUGUCCUCCUACCCCGUGCGGACGCAGGUCGUCAGCUCCGGCAUCCUCUGGGCCCUCGGCGACAUCGGCGCCCAGGCCGUCACCCACAAAUCCGCCAGCUCCCACCACCACCACGCCAAGAACCCCGAGGAUAAAGAUAAAGAGUUCAAAAUUGAUUGGAAGAGGGUCGGCAUCACAAGUUCAUUUGGAUUUGCUUUUGUUGGACCUGUGGGACAUUACUGGUACGAAUACUUGGAUCGUAUGGUCCGACGAAGAUACCUGCCUGGUUCGUUCAAAUUUGUAGCCUCAAAGGUUGCAGCGGAUGGUCUCCUCUUUGGACCGCUAGAUCUGGGGCUGUUCUUCUCUUAUGUGGGCCUAGCUUCAGGAAGGAGCCUGGAGCAGGUGAAGGAUGAUGUGAAGAGGGAUAUCAUUCCUGCCCUGGUUUUAGGGGGAGCCAUCUGGCCGGCUGUGCAGAUCGCAAACUUCCGCUUCAUUCCCGUGCGAUAUCAACUGCUUUACGUGAACUUGUUCUGCCUGUUAGACAGCUGUUUCUUGUCCUGGAUCGAGCAACAAGGAGAUGCAGCUUGGAAGCAAUGGUUCACAUCGUUCCAGAAGAAAAUCGAAGACCAGAAGAGCAACGCUUGA